Molecule: long non-coding RNA, 271 nt
Organism: Sardina pilchardus (European sardine)
Lineage: Eukaryota; Metazoa; Chordata; Actinopteri; Clupeiformes; Clupeidae
Exons: 3
Source: RefSeq, a predicted model, not a curated record
UGCAAUCCAGAAGUAAUUGAUUCUUACAGAGAACUAAAUACUGUAUUCUCUGAAAAUGUGUUCAUUAUCAAAGCAUAUAUAUAUGGUAUGUGCAUGACAGUUCAAUUCGUUCACACUGGAUUUACUUUCUUUUGUUAUUCCCUCUUAGAUAAAGAGAACAACAUCAAGCCAAGAUGUCUGACAAAAAGAUGACAUCGAGUCGCAGGCAUCAUCUGAAGAGCUUGAUGCUUCAGAUUGCUGCAACACAGCUUGAGUAAGAGGAAGCUGAGGC